UGGCGUGUAGCUCAAUCGGUAGUUAGCACGCGGCUGUUAACCGCGGGGUUGUGGGUUCGAGUCCCACCAUGCCAG
RNAcentral lists this transfer RNA (75 nucleotides) under Caudoviricetes sp. Its description in RNAcentral is "tRNA-Asn". It matches the Rfam family "tRNA". From Rfam's summary of the family: Transfer RNA (tRNA) molecules are approximately 80 nucleotides in length. Their secondary structure includes four short double-helical elements and three loops (D, anti-codon, and T loops). RNAcentral also lists the same sequence under 1 other name. The record is from RNAcentral. Lineage: Duplodnaviria; Heunggongvirae; Uroviricota; Caudoviricetes.